GAUGAACGCUGGCGGCGUGCCUAAUACAUGCAAGUCGAGCGAACAGACGAGGAGCUUGCUCCUCUGACGUUAGCGGCGGACGGGUGAGUAACACGUGGAUAACCUACCUCUAAGACUGGGAUAACUUCGGGAAACCGGAGCUAAUACCGGAUAAUAUAUUGAACCGCAUGGUUCAAUAGUGAAUGACGGUUUUGCUGUCUCUUAUAGAUGGAUCCGCGCCGCAUUAGCUAGUUGGUAAGGUAACGGCUUACCAAGGCAACGAUGCGUAGCCGACCUGAGAGGGUGAUCGGCCACACUGGAACUGAGACACGGUCCAGACUCCUACGGGAGGCAGCAGUAGGGAAUCUUCCGCAAUGGGCGAAAGCCUGACGGAGCAACGCCGCGUGGGUGAUGAAGGUCUUCGGAUCGUAAAACUCUGUUAUUAGGGAAGAACAAAUGUGUAAGUAACUAUGCACGUCUUGACGGUACCUAAUCAGAAAGCCACGGCUAACUACGUG
Molecule: ribosomal RNA, 497 nt
Filed under: uncultured bacterium
Lineage: Bacteria
Description: partial 16S ribosomal RNA
Rfam family: Bacterial small subunit ribosomal RNA
Source: RNAcentral